GGGGAUUUAGCUCAGUGGUAGAGUGCUUGCCUAGCAAGCGCAAGGCCCUGGGAUCGGUUCCCAGCUCCA
Molecule: transfer RNA, 69 nt
Filed under: Rattus norvegicus (Norway rat)
Lineage: Eukaryota; Metazoa; Chordata; Mammalia; Rodentia; Muridae
Rfam family: tRNA
About the family: Transfer RNA (tRNA) molecules are approximately 80 nucleotides in length. Their secondary structure includes four short double-helical elements and three loops (D, anti-codon, and T loops).
Source: Rfam by way of RNAcentral